AUUGAACGCUGGCGGCAUGCCUUACACAUGCAAGUCGAACGGCAGCACGGGUGCUUGCACCUGGUGGCGAGUGGCGAACGGGUGAGUAAUACAUCGGAACGUACCUUAUCGUGGGGGAUAACGCAGCGAAAGCUGUGCUAAUACCGCAUACGCCCUGAGGGGGAAAGCGGGGGAUCGAAAGACUCCGCGCGAUUAGAGCGGCCGAUGGCUGAUUAGCUUGUUGGUGGGGGUAAAAGCCCACCAAGGCGACGAUCAGUAGCUGGUCUGAGAGGACGAUCAGCCACACUGGGACUGAGACACGGCCCAGACUCCUACGGGAGGCAGCAGUGGGGAAUUUUGGACAAUGGGGGCAACCCUGAUCCAGCAAUGCCGCGUGAGUGAAGAAGGCCUUCGGGUUGUAAAGCUCUUUUGUCAGGGAAGAAACACCGGCUCUAACACAGUCCGGGAAUGACGGUACCUGAAGAAUAAGCACCGGCUAACUACGUGCCAGCCGCCGCAGUAA
Molecule: ribosomal RNA, 502 nt
Filed under: uncultured bacterium
Lineage: Bacteria
Description: partial 16S ribosomal RNA
Rfam family: Bacterial small subunit ribosomal RNA
Source: RNAcentral